AGUAACGGCGAGUGAAGCGGCAACAGCUCAAAUUUGAAAUCUGGCCCCCCCCCGGGGGGCCCGAGUUGUAAUUUGCAGAGGAUGCUUUGGGCGAGGCGCCUUCCGAGUUCCCUGGAACGGGACGCCACAGAGGGUGAGAGCCCCGUCUGGUCGGACGCCGAGCCUCUGUAAAGCUCCUUCGACGAGUCGAGUAGUUUGGGAAUGCUGCUCAAAAUGGGAGGUAUAUGUCUUCUAAAGCUAAAUACCGGCCAGAGACCGAUAGCGCACAAGUACAGUGAUGGAAAGAUGAAAAGCACCUUGAAAAGGGGGUUAAACAGUACGUGAAAUUGUUGAAAGGGAAGCGCUCGU
Molecule: ribosomal RNA, 348 nt
Filed under: Hypocrella raciborskii
Lineage: Eukaryota; Fungi; Ascomycota; Sordariomycetes; Hypocreales; Clavicipitaceae
Description: partial 26S ribosomal RNA
Rfam family: Eukaryotic large subunit ribosomal RNA
Source: RNAcentral